GAUGAACGCUGGCGGCGUGCCUAACACAUGCAAGUCGAACGGAGUCCAGCCUUUAAGACCUUCGGGUCAAAGAGGGGAAGACUGAGUGGCGGACGGGUGAGUAACACGUGGGCAACCUGGCUCAUAGAGGGGGAUAACAGAGAGAAAUUUCUGCUAAUACCGCAUAAGCACACACUGCCGCAUGGCAGAGGGUGAAAAGAGAAUCGCUAUGAGAUGGACCCGCGUCUGAUUAGCCAGUUGGCAGGGUAAGAGCCUACCAAAGCGACGAUCAGUAGCCGAUCUGGGAGGAUGAACGGCCACAUUUGGACUGAGACACGGCCCAAACUCCUACGCGAGGCAGCAGUGGGGGAUAUUGCACAAUGGGGCGAAACCUGAUGCAGCGACGCCGCGUGAGUGAAGAAGUAUUUCGGUAUGUAAAGCUCUAUCAGCAGGGAAGAUAAUGACAGUACCUGAAUAAGAAGCCCCGGCUAACUACGUG
Molecule: ribosomal RNA, 478 nt
Filed under: uncultured bacterium
Lineage: Bacteria
Description: partial 16S ribosomal RNA
Rfam family: Bacterial small subunit ribosomal RNA
Source: RNAcentral